CGGUGUUAGCAUAAGUGAAGAAGAAGUUUAAACAAACGGAAUUGGCCCUACAAGAAGAGCAGCAAUCACGCAACAAAAUGAACUCUCUUUCCACCGAUCCUUGUAUUGCCAAACAUAUCCUUGCUUUAUCCGGGUAAGAAUUUUAAAACCUUUUUUUCCCCAAAAAAACUUCAAUAGACAUGGGAAAUUUCAAGUAUUCAUAUUAGGUUUUUGGGUUGUUUAAAAGAUUGGGAUUUUUUGAAAACUUGAAUGCGAAUUAACCUGUGGGAAAGUUGGAAAUUUUCCUAAUCGAUUGGUAUAGAUGACUUUUCUUGGUUAGGUGGUUUGGUGCAAGUCUUUUUAUUUUAAUCAAUUAUCCGGAUUGAAUUCUUUGUCAGCUUAGUUUGAAUUAGCUCUAAGUUCAUGUAAGAAGCACGACGAACAUGGAAUUGUAUGGAGUCCUUACUCUUGGGACGCUAUUGGAAAACUACCUCCAUUAAAAGCCUGCUGUUUUUACUUCUGUAGGAGUUUAUGAUUCUAUGUUAAGUAGAGACAUUGGAAGAAGGAACUAGCUCCAGUGCAGAAAAUGUUCCUGCUCAGUACCACGAAGGAUAUAUCAAAGCUCGGUCAUGGGCCUAUAGUUCAUUGGAUCUGUACAAGGUAAUGAGUAUGUGGUUGACUAACUUCUUGUUUCUUUGAGCUCAUAAUCGCAUCUCAAGUAAUGUUUACUUAUUCUAUGUAAACAAUACCAUAUUUAAUGAUAUGUUCAAAUGGUUAGUGAAUUUGUAAUUACUACAGAAACUCUUGAAUGCUGCAGUGUUGCCAUGCACAUAUAUUUGAACUCUCAAGAUGGCUAAUUUCAAAAUAUUUAUGUUUCUUGAA
Molecule: long non-coding RNA, 861 nt
Organism: Olea europaea var. sylvestris
Lineage: Eukaryota; Viridiplantae; Streptophyta; Magnoliopsida; Lamiales; Oleaceae
Exons: 2
Source: RefSeq, a predicted model, not a curated record